Molecule: ribosomal RNA, 492 nt
Filed under: uncultured bacterium
Lineage: Bacteria
Description: partial 16S ribosomal RNA
Rfam family: Bacterial small subunit ribosomal RNA
Source: RNAcentral
AGUGAACGCUGGCGGUAGGCCUAACACAUGCAAGUCGAACGGCAGCACAGUAAGAGCUUGCUCUUACGGGUGGCGAGUGGCGGACGGGUGAGGAAUACAUCGGAAUCUACUUUUUCGUGGGGGAUAACGUAGGGAAACUUACGCUAAUACCGCAUACGACCUACGGGUGAAAGCAGGGGAUCUUCGGACCUUGCGCGGAUGAAUGAGCCGCUGUCGGAUUAGCUAGUUGGCGGGGUAAAGGCCCACCCAGGCGACGAUCCGUAGCUGGUCUGAGAGGAUGGUCGGCCACACUGGAAGUGAGACACGGUCCAGACUCCUACGGGAGGCAGCAGUGGGGAAUAGUGGACAAUGGGCGCAAGCCUGAUCCAGCCAGACCGCGUGAGUGAAGAAGGCCUUCGGGUUGUAAAGCCCUUUUGUUGGGAAAGAAAAGCAGCAGGUUAAUACCCCGCUGUUCUGACGGUACCCAAAGAAGAAGCACCGGCUAACUUCGUG